RNAcentral lists this ribosomal RNA (336 nucleotides) under Salmonella enterica subsp. enterica serovar Infantis. RNAcentral's name for it is "partial 23S ribosomal RNA". It matches the Rfam family "Bacterial large subunit ribosomal RNA", at positions 2607 to 2925 of the family's 2925-position model. The record is from RNAcentral. Lineage: Bacteria; Pseudomonadati; Pseudomonadota; Gammaproteobacteria; Enterobacterales; Enterobacteriaceae.
GGGUUUAGAACGUCGUGAGACAGUUCGGUCCCUAUCUGCCGUGGGCGCUGGAGAACUGAGGGGGGCUGCUCCUAGUACGAGAGGACCGGAGUGGACGCAUCACUGGUGUUCGGGUUGUCAUGCCAAUGGCACUGCCCGGUAGCUAAAUGCGGAAGAGAUAAGUGCUGAAAGCAUCUAAGCACGAAACUUGCCCCGAGAUGAGUUCUCCCUGAGACUUUAAGUCUCCUGAAGGAACGUUGAAGACGACGACGUUGAUAGGCCGGGUGUGUAAGCGCAGCGAUGCGUUGAGCUAACCGGUACUAAUGAACCGUGAGGCUUAACCUUACAACGCCGAAG